CGGAAGGAUCAUUAAUGUUAUAGCAACCCUCUGGCUGAAAAUGCCAGGGGGCACAUCUAUACCACCCUUUGUUUAUCACACCUUUGUUGCUUUGGCAGGCCAGUCUUCGGACUGCCGGCUCCGGCCGGACAGCGCCUGCCAGAGGACCUAAACUCUGUUUGUCUAUAAUGUCUGAGUACUAUAUAAUAGUUAAAACUUUCAACAACGGAUCUCUUGGUUCUGGCAUCGAUGAAGAACGCAGCGAAAUGCGAUAAGUAAUGUGAAUUGCAGAAUUCAGUGAAUCAUCGAAUCUUUGAACGCACAUUGCGCCCCCUGGUAUUCCGGGGGGCAUGCCUGUUCGAGCGUCAUUACAACCCUCAAGCUCUGCUUGGUAUUGGGCCCCGCCGACCCGGCGAGCCCUAAAAUCAGUGGCGGUGCCGUCUGGUUCCGAGCGUAGUAAUUCUUCUCGCUUUGGAGGCCGGGCGUGUGCUUGCCAGCAACCCCCAAUUUUUUUCAGGUUGACCUCGGAUCAGGUAGGGAUACCCGCUGAACUUAAGCAUAUCAUUAAGCGGAGGAAAAGAAAUCAACAGGGAUUACCUCAGUGAUCGGCGAGUGAAGCGGUAACAGCUCAAAUUUGAAAUCUGGCCUCACGGUCCGAGUUGUAAUUUGUAGAGGAUGCUUCGAGCAUGGUCUGACCUAAGUUCCUUGGAACAGGACGUCAUAGAGGGUGAGAAUCCCGUAUGCGGUCAGGUGCCUACGCUCAUGUGAAGCUCCUUCGACGAGUCGAGUUGUUUGGGAAUGCAGCUCAAAAUGGGUGGUAAAUUUCAUCUAAAGCUAAAUAUUGGCCAGAGACCGAUAGCGCACAAGUAGAGUGAUCGAAAGAUGAAAAGCACUUUGGAAAGAGAGUUAAACAGUACGUGAAAUUGAUGAAAGGGAAGCGCUUGCA
This 925-nucleotide ribosomal RNA is filed under the name Geomyces sp. NG_p41. Its description in RNAcentral is "eukaryotic LSU rRNA". The stretch from base 499 to 925 matches the Rfam family "Eukaryotic large subunit ribosomal RNA", at positions 1 to 427 of the family's 3401-position model. Lineage: Eukaryota; Fungi; Ascomycota; Leotiomycetes; Thelebolales; Pseudeurotiaceae. The record is from RNAcentral.